GUAACACGUAGGUAACCUGCCCAUGUGCCCGGGAUAACUUCUGGAAACGGACGCUAAACCGGAUAGGUAGCAGACAAGCAUUUGACUGCUAUUAAAGUGGCUAAGGCCAUGAACAUGGAUGGACCUGCGGUGCAUUAGCUAGUUGGUGAGGUAACGGCCCACCAAGGCGACGAUGCAUAGCCGGCCUGAGAGGGCGGACGGCCACAUUGGGACUGAGACACGGCCCAAACUCCUACGGGAGGCAGCAUG
RNAcentral lists this ribosomal RNA (249 nucleotides) under uncultured bacterium. RNAcentral's name for it is "partial 16S ribosomal RNA". It matches the Rfam family "Bacterial small subunit ribosomal RNA", at positions 110 to 353 of the family's 1533-position model. The record is from RNAcentral.